RNAcentral lists this ribosomal RNA (468 nucleotides) under uncultured bacterium. Its description in RNAcentral is "partial 16S ribosomal RNA". It matches the Rfam family "Bacterial small subunit ribosomal RNA", at positions 28 to 507 of the family's 1533-position model. The record is from RNAcentral.
GACGAACGCUGGCGGCGUGCUUAACACAUGCAAGUCGAACGGAAAGGCCCUGCUUUUGUGGGGUGCUCGAGUGGCGAACGGGUGAGUAACACGUGAGUAACCUGCCCUUGACUUUGGGAUAACUUCAGGAAACUGGGGCUAAUACCGGAUAGGAGCUCCUGCUGCAUGGUGGGGGUUGGAAAGUUUCGGCGGUUGGGGAUGGACUCGCGGCUUAUCAGCUUGUUGGUGGGGUAGUGGCUUACCAAGGCUUUGACGGGUAGCCGGCCUGAGAGGGUGAACGGCCACAUUGGGACUGAGAUACGGCCCAGACUGCUACGGGAGGCAGCAGUGGGGAAUAUUGCACAAUGGGCGGAAGCCUGAUGCAGCAACGCCGCGUGCGGGAUGACGGCCUUCGGGUUGUAAACCGCUUUCGCCUGUGACGAAGCGUGAGUGACGGUAAUGGGUAAAGAAGCACCGGCUAACUACGUG